Long non-coding RNA from Sus scrofa (pig), 330 nucleotides. RefSeq lists it as uncharacterized. The record is from RefSeq and is a predicted model, not a curated record. Lineage: Eukaryota; Metazoa; Chordata; Mammalia; Artiodactyla; Suidae.
UGCAUGCCCAGUUGAACGGUGGGUGAUCCCAUCAGGUCUUAACCAGCUCAGCUCCAACUCGCUCAGCUUCUGGGAAACAGCUCUGGGUGAACCUUCUUUAGGCUACGUGACCCUUGGAGGACGCCAGUCUUCCAAGGACCUGGACUAGUGAAGGCAAGCAAAACAGCCUGGCUGAAUAUUGGGCGUGCUUACUAGGAGCAGCAAGACAAAAGGAAGCUGUGGCUUUUAGGAAUUGUUGCCAGUGUGACUUUAUAUAUCAGCGGAGAAGGAACACAAAUAAUGUCUAGAGGGUCAGGACAAGUCAGUAUUAAACAGAUAUUUUUUGUUUAA